RNAcentral lists this ribosomal RNA (2636 nucleotides) under Glycine max (soybean). Its description in RNAcentral is "eukaryotic LSU rRNA". The stretch from base 1 to 2299 matches the Rfam family "Eukaryotic large subunit ribosomal RNA", at positions 446 to 3401 of the family's 3401-position model. Lineage: Eukaryota; Viridiplantae; Streptophyta; Magnoliopsida; Fabales; Fabaceae. The record is from RNAcentral.
CUAACUUAAAAACAAACCAUUUUAAGAGUAUAAAUACUUGUAUAACCAGAAUUGGACGUAGUUUUGUGAAUGCUUUUGUUCAAUUCCUUUUUAGUUUCUAAUUUUCCUUUAGGUUUUUGCCCCUUUCUUCUCUGUUCAUUGUUCAGUCUGCUAUGUAAUUCAGGGUGACGAGGUGUGGGACUAUGGGGUUUGGAUUUCGGAUUUGAUGGGAGAAAUGGGUUUGGAUUCACAUUUCGAAUCUGCUCAUGGAGACGUCAUCAUUGCAAUUGUGGAGGGCAGCGCGUGCCCUUUGCGUGCCUCGGCACCUGCGCGCUCCUAGCGUCGGCCUCUAGGCUCUCCAUUCGUCCCGUCAUGAAACACGGACCAAGGAGUCUGACAUGUGUGCAAGUCAACAAGCGAGUAAACCUAUAAGGUGCAAGGAGCUUAUUGGUGGGAUCCCCCUUUGGGUUGCACCACCGGCCGACCCUGAUCUUCUGUGAAUGGUUUAAGUGAGAGCAUACCUAUUGGGACUCGAAAGAUGGUGAACUAUGCCUGAGCGGGACAAAGCCAGAUGAAACUCUAGUGGAGGCCUGCAGUGAUACUAACGUGCAAAUCGUUUGUCUGACUUGGGUAUAGGGGCAAAAGACUAAUUGAACCGUCUAGUAGCUGGUUCCCUUCGAUGUUUCCCUUCGAAUAGUUGGAGCCCACGGGCGAGUUGUAUCGGGUAAAGCCAAUGAUUAGAGGCAUCGGGGGCACAACGCCCUUGACCUAUUCUCAAAAUUUAAAUAGGUAGGACGGCAUAGCUGCUCUGUUAAGCCACGCCAUUGAAUCAAGAGCUCUAAGUGGGCCAUUUUUGGUAAGCAGAAUUCGCGAUGCGGAAUGAACCAAAAGCUGGGUUGCGGCGCCCAAGUGUGCACUAACCUAGAACCCACAAAGGGUGUUGGUCGAUUAAGACAGUAGGACAGUGGUCAUGGAAGUUGAAAUCCACUAAGGAAUGUGUAACAACUCACUUGUCGAAUCAACUAGCCAUAAAAAUGGAUGGCGCUAAAGCGUGCGACCUAUACCCGACUGUCGGGGCAAGGACCAAGCCCCAAUGAGUAGGAAGGUGCGGUGGUCACUGCAAAGCCCAAGGUGUAAGCUCAGGCGGAGUGCCCGUCAAUGCAAAUCUUGGUGUUAGUAGAAAAUAUUCAAAUGAGAACUUUGAAGGCUGCAAAGGGGAAAGGUUCCAUGUGAGCGACACUUGCAUAUGGGUUAGUCGAUCCUAAGGAAUAGGGGAAGCCCGUUUGAUAGCACUCUGUGCAUGUACUCCGAAAGGGUAUUAGGUUAAAAUUCCUGAAUCGGGAUAUGGCGGCUAAUGGCAAUGUUAGGGAAUCCAAAGACGUUGACAGGGGCCCUGGAAAGAGUUAUCUUUUCUAUUUAACAGCCUGCCCACCCUAGAAAUGACUCAACCAGAGGUAGGGUCCAAUGGCUGGAAGAGCACUGCACAUUGCAUGGUGUCCGGUGUGCCCCCGAUAGCCCUUGAAAAUCCGGAGGACUGAGUGCCUCCCAUGCCCGGUCGUACUCAUAAGGACAUCAGGUCUCCAAGGUGAACAACCUCUGGUCAAUGGAAAAAUGUAGGCAAGGGAAGUCAGAAAAAUGGUUCCACAACCUCGAGAAAAGGAUUGGCUCUGAAGGCUAGGCACGAGGGUCCCAGUCCUGAACCCGUCGGCUAUCAGUGGACUACUUGAGCUACUUCCGCGGUGAGAGUGGGUUGUCGCGUCUCGUUCGGGGGAUGAAUUGGGAACGGGCCCUUCGGGGCCUCUUCCUCGGGCAUCAAACAGUCAACUCAAAAUUGGUACAAACAAGGGGAAUUCAAUUGUUUAAUUAAAACAAAGCAUUGCGAUGGUCCCUACAGAUGUUGACGCAAUGUGAUUUAUGCCCAGUGCUCUGAAUGUCAAAGUGAAGAAAUACAACCAAGCGCGGGUAAAUGGCAGGAGUAACUAUGACUCUCUUAAGGCAGCCAAAUGCCUCGUCAUCUAAUUAAUGACACGCAUUGUAAUGACCCACCUCGUCGCUACGAUAUCACCACUCUAAACCGCAAUAAUUUCAAUUGUUAAAUGAAAACUCUGUUAAUUUUCUUAUGAAAAAUGAAAGUAAUUUUUUUUCUCGAUAUACAUUCACAAAACAACGCACCAUUACUUAAGUGAAUACAUAUAUAUAUAUAUAUAUAUAUAUAUAUAUAUAUAUAUAUAUAUAUAUAUAUAUAUAUAUAGGUAUUGUAACUCAGUAUACAUCAUUCACAUAAUGGAAAGUAAAUUUGUUCAUACAUAUAAAUUUAUAAUUUACAUCCUCAAUUCACAAAAAGAAUUAUGGAACCAGCUAUGGAGGAGUUGAUUAACAAAACACAACUCUUUCCCAAAAUCAUCACAACGUCAUCACGUCAGCUCGGCGGCUCCACAAAAGAAUCUCAUUUCUCGUACUCUAUUGUUGUCAUUCUGCUCCCACAAACAAAGGUUCACGAUUAUCACAGGUAAUAACCACAUGGUACAAAAAUUGCGAAGGGUGAGUUUAUUAUAAAAGAUAUCAAUACAAAAAUCAAAUAACCACAAUUAGUAAGAAAACAUUAACAAAUAUCAUAAGCUUACACAAACAUUCAUUAGUCCAACACACGCUCAAUG